UUAGAGGUUUCAUUGGAAACCACAAAGAUACCCUUAUAACUAGAAG
Picea glauca (white spruce) is the source of this 46-nucleotide non-coding RNA. The record is from Rfam. NCBI's taxonomy places the organism in Eukaryota, Viridiplantae, Streptophyta, Pinopsida, Pinales, Pinaceae.